This 611-nucleotide long non-coding RNA is filed under the name Marmota monax (woodchuck). Lineage: Eukaryota; Metazoa; Chordata; Mammalia; Rodentia; Sciuridae. The record is from RNAcentral.
UAGUUCAUUUUCUUUAGGUGUUUGAUAUUGUUUUAAGUAAUAUUUUUUCAUAUUUUUAUUGAAUAGAUAUUUAAUUUCACUAAAGAAAUUAAUUUUUCUUACAUUAACUUUUGUAUAAUGACUGUGCCUCAUUGAGAUAUUAAUUCAAAUGGUGUACUGUAGAUUUGUAGUGCAAAAAUUGCCUUUUUCCCUAUUCUGUGGAAGAUUUCUUCUUAAGUAUUUGCUAGAAGUUAUAGUGGACUCUCUGGAACUGGAAAAGUAUGGGAAAUUAUUUUUUAAACAAUUUAUGUUUUUGUAUGUUCUUAUUUUUAUAAAAAAUUGAAUAUUUUAAAAAAAAUUUCUUUGCAGUAACAUUCUACAGAUAUCAUCUUAAAGUGUCACUUAAUGUCAUGAUGUCUAUAGUGAUACUACUACCUUUUCAAUUCUGAUAUUAGUCACUUGUACCUUAUAUUUUCUUCACAUAGAAGUUUCUCAGUUUUCAUGAUCUUCCAAAGACCACUAUUUUUUGUUUUGUUCAUCCUCUCUAUUUGUACAAAUUUUUGUUUUAUUUUCAUUUGUUCCUGUUUCCAUCAUUUUCUUUCAUUUAAAAUAUUUGGCUUAAUAGUUGUUCC